Long non-coding RNA from Sebastes umbrosus (honeycomb rockfish), 191 nucleotides. RefSeq lists it as uncharacterized. NCBI's taxonomy places the organism in Eukaryota, Metazoa, Chordata, Actinopteri, Perciformes, Sebastidae. The record is from RefSeq and is a predicted model, not a curated record. The transcript has 3 exons.
UGACGGACAGCCGGAUGAUUUUAUCCUCCGCUGACUACAACUAACCCGCAUCUGGUGGGGGGGGCUUUAACACCCUGGUGACCAGGUCUGUGUGACCAGGUGUGUGUUUGUGUGACCAGGUGUGUGUGUGUGUGUGUGUGUGUGUGUGAGACCAGGUAGGUGUGACCAGGUGUGUGUGUGUGUGUGUGUGU